This 447-nucleotide ribosomal RNA is filed under the name uncultured bacterium. Its description in RNAcentral is "bacterial SSU rRNA". It matches the Rfam family "Bacterial small subunit ribosomal RNA", at positions 355 to 825 of the family's 1533-position model. The record is from RNAcentral.
UCGGGAAUUUUGGGCAAUGGGCGAAAGCCUGACCCAGCAACGCCGCGUGAAGGAUGAAGUAUUUCGGUAUGUAAACUUCGUAAGAAUAGGAAGAAUAAAUGACGGUACUAUUUGUAAGGUCCGGCUAACUACGUGCCAGCAGCCGCGGUAAUACGUAGGGACCAAGCGUUGUUCGGAUUUACUGGGCGUAAAGGGCGCGUAGGCGGCAUGACAAGUCACUUGUGAAAUCUCUGGGCUUAACCCAGAACGGCCAAGUGAUACUGUCGCGCUAGAGUGCAGAAGGGGCAAUCGGAAUUCUUGGUGUAGCGGUGAAAUGCGUAGAUAUCAAGAGGAACACCUGAGGUGAAGACGGGUUGCUGGGCUGACACUGACGCUGAGGCGCGAAAGCCAGGGGAGCAAACAGGAUUAGAUACCCAUGUAGUCCCUGAGCGGGCUGGCAAGGCGCAU